AGUACUUGUGUUUGUUUUUUCUUAACUUGUGGGCAAAGACCACAUAUAGGUGCAGAAAACAAACCCUCUUUUGCAAACCAGAACUCAUUGUUUGGUAUGAGUUUUGAUACAUAGAAGAAGGAACAUG
Small nucleolar RNA from Phyllostomus discolor (pale spear-nosed bat), 127 nucleotides. RefSeq annotates it as small nucleolar RNA SNORA40. The transcript has a single exon. The record is from RefSeq and is a predicted model, not a curated record. Lineage: Eukaryota; Metazoa; Chordata; Mammalia; Chiroptera; Phyllostomidae.